UCCUAAUCUAACUCAUCUUCAUGCCUCUUCUCAAAAUGGAUCUGCCUUUCUUCAACCUUGAGAUCCACCACCUUCUUCUUUGGAUCUAGCAGGGAUGUAGAUAGAAGAAGCUUGGACCCAUGAAGAUAUUGGUAGCUGCUUUACACUCAGGUUUUAGAAGUUCAAAUCCAUCAACAUAUCCUCCCAUAAUGCUGAGAGUCCAUUUUUUUGGUUGUAGUAGACUAGGCUUGCAACAUGCUUUCCUUUUGCUAUUUUUAUUCCCUGUAAAUAUUAUGCAUGUAAACUUUGUUGCCUAAGAUUUAUCUUGCCCUUUAACUGCAUAUGGAUGUAAUUCUCAAAUUGGGGCACUGUCAUUUAUCACUAUUAAGAAUUGCUUUUCCUUUA
Long non-coding RNA from Capsicum annuum, 384 nucleotides. RefSeq lists it as uncharacterized. Lineage: Eukaryota; Viridiplantae; Streptophyta; Magnoliopsida; Solanales; Solanaceae. The record is from RefSeq and is a predicted model, not a curated record. The transcript has 2 exons.